GAAUUGAAAGCUAAAUAUAGGCAGUGACCUUGUAAGUCAAAGAUAGAGAUACCUCUCAAUUCU
This 63-nucleotide transfer RNA is filed under the name Amynthas yambaruensis. RNAcentral's name for it is "tRNA-Thr". Lineage: Eukaryota; Metazoa; Annelida; Clitellata; Crassiclitellata; Megascolecidae. The record is from RNAcentral.